This 690-nucleotide ribosomal RNA is filed under the name Serratia sp. (in: enterobacteria). RNAcentral's name for it is "bacterial SSU rRNA". It matches the Rfam family "Bacterial small subunit ribosomal RNA", at positions 42 to 721 of the family's 1533-position model. Lineage: Bacteria; Pseudomonadati; Pseudomonadota; Gammaproteobacteria; Enterobacterales; Yersiniaceae. The record is from RNAcentral.
GCCGGCUUAACACAUGCAAGUCGAGCGGUAGCACAGGGGAGCUUGCUCCCUGGGUGACGAGCGGCGGACGGGUGAGUAAUGUCUGGGAAACUGCCUGAUGGAGGGGGAUAACUACUGGAAACGGUAGCUAAUACCGCAUAACGUCGCAAGACCAAAGAGGGGGACCUUCGGGCCUCUUGCCAUCAGAUGUGCCCAGAUGGGAUUAGCUAGUAGGUGGGGUAAUGGCUCACCUAGGCGACGAUCCCUAGCUGGUCUGAGAGGAUGACCAGCCACACUGGAACUGAGACACGGUCCAGACUCCUACGGGAGGCAGCAGUGGGGAAUAUUGCACAAUGGGCGCAAGCCUGAUGCAGCCAUGCCGCGUGUGUGAAGAAGGCCUUCGGGUUGUAAAGCACUUUCAGCGAGGAGGAAGGUGGUGAACUUAAUACGCUCAUCAAUUGACGUUACUCGCAGAAGAAGCACCGGCUAACUCCGUGCCAGCAGCCGCGGUAAUACGGAGGGUGCAAGCGUUAAUCGGAAUUACUGGGCGUAAAGCGCACGCAGGCGGUUUGUUAAGUCAGAUGUGAAAUCCCCGGGCUCAACCUGGGAACUGCAUUUGAAACUGGCAAGCUAGAGUCUCGUAGAGGGGGGUAGAAUUCCAGGUGUAGCGGUGAAAUGCGUAGAGAUCUGGAGGAAUACCGGUGGCGAAGG